This 73-nucleotide transfer RNA is filed under the name Vicugna pacos (alpaca). RNAcentral's name for it is "tRNA-Ala (AGC) (tRNA-Ala-AGC-113-1)". It matches the Rfam family "tRNA". From Rfam's summary of the family: Transfer RNA (tRNA) molecules are approximately 80 nucleotides in length. Their secondary structure includes four short double-helical elements and three loops (D, anti-codon, and T loops). The record is from RNAcentral. Lineage: Eukaryota; Metazoa; Chordata; Mammalia; Artiodactyla; Camelidae.
GGAGGGUAUAGCUCAAUGGUAGAGCACAUGCUUAGCAUGCAUGAGGUCCUGGGUUCAAUCCCCAGUACCUCCA